This is a long non-coding RNA of Astatotilapia calliptera (eastern happy), 1431 nucleotides long. The record is from Ensembl. NCBI's taxonomy places the organism in Eukaryota, Metazoa, Chordata, Actinopteri, Cichliformes, Cichlidae.
CAGGUCAUUUCAUGAAGUAAUGAUGAUGUCAUGGCAAGUAAUUAAGAAACAUACUGCAUUACUUUUAAGAAAAGUAAUGAGUAACAUGUAAUAAGAGACAGCUUCUUCCACCAGGCCAUCAGACUGCUGAACACGUCAUAGACACCUCAGCUUCACUACUGGAACUUUAACAUUAUGCACUCCAUACUGUACAGUAAUGCCACUGUUUUGCACAUGUCUCAACUCUGUAUAUUUUUAUAUAUUUUAUUUAUUGUUUACUCUAUUUAAUUUGUAAAAUAUGUGUAAACACACACACACACACGCGUAGAAAGUUGAAAAUAGCUUUCUAGUAAAAAAUAGUAUCAGAAUUAAACUGGGGAAAACAGCCCAGUUGUUGUUGUGUUUUGUUGUGAUUCUAUCUUUGUACCUGUCAUUUAAAAUGCUAUCCUACAUCCAGCCGCUAGAGGGCGCAUUACGCGCAGUGGUAUCGAGUAGCGUUUUGGGGCACAGAGGAAGAAUAAACCUUCCUGUUGUGAAACUGACAUCAGCUCAACGUGUGUCCCUUUUUCUAUUCUUUAUCACAGGAGCAUUUCACACUUCAGCUGAGAUGCAGAGCAAGACCCCAGAGAGAAGCCCAAGCCAGCAUCUCUAAGCAAAAAGAGGAAGGCAACGACAGGCAUGAGCGGCAUGAUGAUGGCAUUUGUGGGGAUGCAGAAGAAGCGAUACAGUGAGUUUAUGCAACUAGAGCAGCUAGACCAGCAGCAAGAGAAAUAAACCCUGAGCACAUGGAGGAAGGCACAGAACAAGAUAAAGGAAUACGCCCCCCACCCCCAAGAAACAAGAAAGUUCAUGCGUUCAAAUAAUAAACAGACUGUGAAGUCAUGAUGCCUUUGCCACACACACAUAUUCACAAGCUACCCUUUUGCUCUGUUCACCCUCUCCCGGAACUUCAUAAUGAUUAUGUCCACAAUUCCCAUGAGGAAGCACUAUGUGUUUGAGGUUUUUAUGCCUUUUGCACCAAUUACAUGCCAAACAAGAGCGCAACUCCCCCCAAAGGAUCAAAUUGGAUCAUGGACACUAGCAGUGAAGGUCAAAUGUCUGGCAAACCUAGGUACUCAUGGCCUAGUAUACUGCUGGGAAACUUUAAAGAUGGUCCAUAAAAAGCUGUGGUGCAUGGGGAUCUGCCAGACCCGGGAGCCGUCGCCAGUCCCCUUCGAGGCCUUCCCCAAACCGCAGCUCAAUUCAUGUCCAAGCGUUCACCUUUACCUACUAAAGCACUGUCAAACCUAAAAUGAGGACGUGGGCCCAGCUAGUGAAAUGUCAAAAACAAAAAAAACCCUGUUUGACAUGUUACAUGGUAUGAGCCGUUAGAAGAUGGAUACGGUCAUGUGGUCAUAAAGCGAUGGAUGAAGAACAGCCAUAGAGAAACUGCUUCUAAAGAUAUCAGACUUG